RNAcentral lists this ribosomal RNA (460 nucleotides) under uncultured bacterium. Its description in RNAcentral is "partial 16S ribosomal RNA". It matches the Rfam family "Bacterial small subunit ribosomal RNA", at positions 338 to 795 of the family's 1533-position model. The record is from RNAcentral.
CCUACGGGUGGCAGCAGUGAGGAAUAUUGGUCAAUGGACGGAAGUCUGAACCAGCCAAGUAGCGUGAAGGAUGACUGUCCUACGGGUUGUAAACUUCUUUUAUAAAGGAAUAAAGUGAGGCACGUGUGCCUUUUUGUAUGUACUUUAUGAAUAAGGAUCGGCUAACCCCGUGCCAGCAGCCGCGGUAAUACGGAGGAUCCGAGCGUUAUCCGGAUUUAUUGGGUUUAAAGGGAGCGUAGAUGGGUUGUUAAGUCAGGUGUGAAAGUUUGCGGCUCAACCGUAAAAUUGCAAUUGAUACUGGCAGCCUUGAGUACAGUUGAUGUAUGCGGAAUGCGUGGUGUAGCGGUGAAAUGCUGAGAUAUCACGAAGAACUCCGAGUGCGAAGGCAGCCUACUAAACUGCCACUGACAGUGAUGCUCGAAAGUGUGGGUAUCAAACAGGAUUAGAUACCCUGGUAGUC